RNAcentral lists this long non-coding RNA (591 nucleotides) under Homo sapiens (human). RNAcentral's name for it is "non-protein coding lnc-LGALS2-1:3". The record is from RNAcentral. Lineage: Eukaryota; Metazoa; Chordata; Mammalia; Primates; Hominidae.
AUGUCCUCCACUGGGGCAGCUGUCUCCGGGGGACUCCUGGUGACCUUGGGGGAGGCUGGUCUGGGAGGCACCUCAGACUCUGUCCUUUCCUUGGUAGCUGCUGAAGCCAAGGCUGGGGCCGGAGCUGGAGCUGGAGCCGGAGCCGGAGCCGGGGUGGUGGCUGGGGUGGGCACGGCAGUGGACGGAAGUUCCUCAGAGGCCAGCCUGUCACUGACUGUGUCCUGGAGGGUAACAGCUGAGAAGAGGCCUGACACGUUGAAGUUGAUGUCUCCAGGGAAGAGGGUGUCUGCGCUCUGGAUCAGCGCCUCGACGACGCCCACCACCUGGAUGGAAGACACGGAGGCUGCAUCCAGCUGGGCCUGGUCCCCUUCUUUCUCAGGUGGCCACAGCAAGUUGGGUCCCAGGACUAUGGCGAUGUUGCUGGGUGUCAUCUUGUUCACCUCCUGCUCCUCGGCCAGCCGUGCCAGGAACUUCAUCAGGUACCUAAGGUUGCUGAGGUUCUCGGGGGGUAGGCGGCUGCACACCUCUUGGAGGGCCUGCAGCCGGGCCCCUGGCUCCUUCAGGCUGGCUGCCCUCAUCCAGUCAUCAUAG